GGAUGAAGAACGCAGCGAAAUGCGAUAAGUAGUGUGAAUUGCAGAAUUCAGUGAAUCAUCGAAUCUUUGAACGCACAUUGCGCCCCUUGGUAUUCCAUGGGGCAUGCCUGUUCGAGCGUCAUUUGUACCCUCAAGCUAAGCUUGGUGUUGGGUGUUUGUCCACUCCCUCGUGUUUGGACUCGCCUUAAAACAAUUGGCAGCCAGUGUUUUGGUAUUGAAGCGCAGCACAAUUUGCGAUUCAAGCCUAGAAUACUAGCAUCCAUCAAGUCAUUUUUAACGCUUGACCUCGGAUCAGGUAGGGAUACCCGCUGAACUUAAGCAUAUCAAUAAGCGGAGGA
This 338-nucleotide unclassified non-coding RNA is filed under the name soil metagenome. RNAcentral's name for it is "partial contains 5.8S ribosomal RNA, internal transcribed spacer 2, and large subunit ribosomal RNA". The stretch from base 2 to 121 matches the Rfam family "5.8S ribosomal RNA", at positions 35 to 154 of the family's 154-position model. The record is from RNAcentral.